RNAcentral lists this ribosomal RNA (748 nucleotides) under uncultured Winogradskyella sp. Its description in RNAcentral is "bacterial SSU rRNA". It matches the Rfam family "Bacterial small subunit ribosomal RNA", at positions 108 to 857 of the family's 1533-position model. The record is from RNAcentral. Lineage: Bacteria; Pseudomonadati; Bacteroidota; Flavobacteriia; Flavobacteriales; Flavobacteriaceae.
GAGUAACGCGUAUACAAUCUACCUUUUACAGGGGGAUAGCCUUUAGAAAUGAAGAUUAAUAUCCCAUAGUAUGUUAACUUGGCAUCAAGAUGACAUUAAAGUUUCGGCGGUAAAAGAUGAGUAUGCGUUCUAUUAGUUAGUUGGUAAGGUAACGGCUUACCAAGACCGCGAUAGAUAGGGGCCCUGAGAGGGGGAUCCCCCACACUGGUACUGAGACACGGACCAGACUCCUACGGGAGGCAGCAGUGAGGAAUAUUGGACAAUGGGCGCGAGCCUGAUCCAGCCAUGCCGCGUGCAGGAAGACUGCCCUAUGGGUUGUAAACUGCUUUUAUACAGGAAGAAACCUUUUCACGUGUGAAAAGCUGACGGUACUGUAAGAAUAAGGAUCGGCUAACUCCGUGCCAGCAGCCGCGGUAAUACGGAGGAUCCAAGCGUUAUCCGGAAUCAUUGGGUUUAAAGGGUCCGUAGGUGGAUAAUUAAGUCAGGGGUGAAAGUUUGCAGCUCAACUGUAAAAUUGCCUUUGAUACUGGUUAUCUUGAAUUAUUGUGAAGUGGUUAGAAUAUGUAGUGUAGCGGUGAAAUGCAUAGAUAUUACAUAGAAUACCAAUUGCGAAGGCAGAUCACUAACAAUAUAUUGACACUGAUGGACGAAAGCGUGGGGAGCGAACAGGAUUAGAUACCCUGGUAGUCCACGCCGUAAACGAUGGAUACUAGCUGUUCGGUUUUCGGACUGAGUGGCUAAGCGAAAG